GACGUAGGAGACGAGCGUUAUUCGGAUUUACUGGGCGUAAAGCGCGUGCAGGCGGUUUGGUAAGUUGGAUGUGAAAGCUCCCGGCUCAACUGGGAGAGGUCGUUCAAAACUGCCAGACUAGAGAGUAGGAGAGGGAGGUGGAAUUCCGGGUGUAGGGGUGAAAUGCGUAGAUAUCCGGAGGAACACCAGUGGCGAAGGCGACCUCCUGGCCUAUUUCUGACGCUCAGACGCGAAAGCUAGGGUGGCAAACGGGAUUAGAGACCCCGGUAGUCCUAGCCGUAACGAUGUAGACUUGGCGUUGGUGGGGUAAAAUCCAUCAGUGCCGAAGCUAACGCGAUAAGUCUACCGCCUGGGGACUACGGCCGCAAGGUUAAA
Molecule: ribosomal RNA, 375 nt
Filed under: uncultured bacterium
Lineage: Bacteria
Description: bacterial SSU rRNA
Rfam family: Bacterial small subunit ribosomal RNA
Source: RNAcentral